Molecule: non-coding RNA, 247 nt
Organism: Camelina sativa (false flax)
Lineage: Eukaryota; Viridiplantae; Streptophyta; Magnoliopsida; Brassicales; Brassicaceae
Source: RefSeq, a predicted model, not a curated record
UCCAUUUUCGAAAUUUAAUUUUUGAAAUAUUCUCUUCUUCUCUCUGAGAUUACUGCGACUACGAACAACGUUCUUCGUUUCCAGACCUCUGCGAAAAUGGUUGUGAUUCAGAAGCUGAAGGAAGCAGAGAUUACUGAGCAGGACUCGCUUCUUCUGACUCGGAAUCUGCUUCGUAUUGCUAUCUUCAACAUCAGUUACAUCAGAGGACUCUUUCCUGAGAAGUAUUUCAACGAUAAAUCGGUUCCUG